UGGGGAAUAUUGCACAAUGGGCGAAAGCCUGAUGCAGCAACGCCGCGUGAGUGAAGAAGGCCUUCGGGUUGUAAAGCUCUGUCUUUUGGGACGAUAAUGACGGUACCAAAGGAGGAAGCCACGGCUAACUACGUGCCAGCAGCCGCGGUAAUACGUAGGUGGCAAGCGUUGUCCGGAUUUACUGGGCGUAAAGGAUGCGUAGGUGGAUAUUUAAGUGGGAUGUGAAAUACCCGGGCUCAACUUGGGUGCUGCAUUCCAAACUGGAUAUCUAGAGUGCAGGAGAGGAAAGUGGAAUUCCUAGUGUAGCAGUGAAAUGCGUAGAUAUUAGGAGGAACACCAGUGGCGAAGGCGGCUUUCUGGACUGUAACUGACACUGAGGCAUGAAAGCGUGGGGAGCAAACAGG
RNAcentral lists this ribosomal RNA (404 nucleotides) under uncultured bacterium. RNAcentral describes it as "bacterial SSU rRNA". It matches the Rfam family "Bacterial small subunit ribosomal RNA", at positions 355 to 776 of the family's 1533-position model. The record is from RNAcentral.